AGACCUGUGUGGAACGACAGGGGAGGACUGGUUAUGGGAAGGCGGAGACCGACAAGGGAAACACCGACAAAGGGAAAGCUGCAGCUCAUUGAUGCUCAACUCAGUUCAACCUGGCCUUAGCAGGAGGUCUAGAGAGCCCAUGCCACAUUCUCUUCACAAAAGUAAAAUAAAGUUUUAGUUUCUCUGGUGGCUAUGACCGGGUUACCUUCCUACCAGGUCACUUGCCGUGGUGCUGAGACUGAGGCCUUGAAAAUGACACUACAUUGAGGCCAAUGUAGAAAGGACAGCAGAGACUUGAAGAUUUUGCAAGAAAGAAAGAAAGAUUGAGAUCAUAGUGAGAAAAACAUUUUGGAUGUGUUGGAUUAAACAAUAAAUAUUAAAAUUUAUUUUAUCGGUUCCCUUGUGCUUUUUUUCAUUGUAACCACUAAAACUGUUAAAAUAUGUGACUUUCGUCACAUCUGUCAUUGAAAACAAAAACCAGACAAAUUUGGGCCACAGACAAUUGAAAGCUUGGGGUGGACAGUAUGUCCCACAAGAUCAUAUGAGUACAAUUUUUCUUCUUUGUAAUGUUUGAUGGUGAGUGUCCAUAAAUACUACAAUGUCAUGAAGAACAUGAGAAUGAAUGAAUCAGUUAUGAAUAGGAAGGCAGCGGUCAGAAGCCCACUUCUUGCUCUCAGCCGGAGAAGCACUGAAGUGCAGAGAAUACCAGAGAGACAGUCUGAAGGAUUACUUUUUCUGGGGCACAUCACACACAUGCACACCGAGAUACAUCACACUCCUAGCUACACCCACAUGCACACCCACACACAUCCCUGUUCAUCAGUAAAGAUGUGCACAGAACUCAUCCCCAUUCCCCCGAGCCCUCUCUCCACAGCAGAGACUUUGUGGUACGAAGAAGCCCAUGCAGUGCUAAAGAAAAUCCAGGGCACUAUUGGGGACUGGGUAGUUAUUCCUCCCAAAGGAAAAAAGUCCAAAAGGCAAGGCCCCUCCACUUCCUUCUGCGUAAGAGAGCCCCUGGCCAGACGCUUCCCCAUAAAACAGAGUGCCUUGGGGAUUCUGAAGACUCCAGGCUGUCCAGCUGCGUGUUUCCAGAUGUGUCUACAUCUGCCUGUCUUCCCAGUGUCUCUGGCAGGGGUGGGAUGGGCCAGCUCUUGACUUCACCCUCCCCUCAGGACCACCCCAGCUGCAAGAAGCCUAUGGCCUCAAGCCCCCCUUCAGAUGUCCUGACACAAUUUGGGCUCAAUUAGGAGCUCAGUCUGGCAGGCAGGAAAGAGAUGUUCCCCAUGAAAUAGGGAACAAAGCUCACUCCCUGGAACACUGAUCCCCUCAAGGAGAAAGCACAUUUCUCCAGCUCUGUGCCUAAAGGAAGCUUAUCAGUCCUUUGCCGGGCUAACAGAUGAGUGUGAAGCUUCAAAGACCACCCUCAGCACUGCCCAUCUAGGACAGUCAGGUCCUUCCCGGCUGGCUCUAGAGUCUGCAGUGGGAGACCCUGUUCAUCUGGCCUAGCGGGUAGCUGGGGAUGGAUGCAGACAGGCCUAAGGACGAGGACAUGACUUCCUCAGUCUCAUGAAGGUCACCAGAGCCUGCCUGCUGCUCCCCAGCCUCUGUGCUGGCCAGUGCAUGUGGGCGGGAGCUGGAGUGGAGGAGCCCUUUGGGUCCCGGGAGUGCGUUCACUGUUCAUCCUCAGGGGCCCCAGGACCUUAGGAAGGCUGGAAGCCCUAAGCUGCCGCCUGUUAGCUAUUUCCCAGGCGUUGCCCCAACAGCUCAUGUGUAAACAAUGACACCAUCUUCACAGCUGCGAUUCUCAGCUUUAUAGGAUCCCAGGCACUAGGAAUCUGCUCAGUGGAAAUCUAAAGUCAACUCUAAACCUGGCUAUUCGGUAUAGCCCCUCCGUGUGAAACUUUACCAAAAUCAUAAGCAUUUCAAAAAGUCCCCUCCCUAAAGAAUAUUGGGGGCAGGGACUCUGUGCAACCCUAGGGAUAUGACCGAGAAGGUAAAAAUUAAAUGUUGGUAAUAUGCAUGAUGCCACAGCUGAGGGUCAAACUCUAGAAAUGGUGCCCUGCUAACAUGUGACUUGUGUUGUGUCAGGUACUUUGCCACCCUGUACCAUCCCUGGUUAACGCCCCUGGUGAGCCGGUCACAUGGUUUCUAUUAUUAGCUCCACUUUAUAGAUUUAAAAGUUACAUACUCAUGAUCAUACAGAGGCUAUGCUGAUUGAAAGCAGGACUGUUUGCCAUAGAAAUGCCCAUGCUCUCCCAACCACGCGGCCCUGAGUAGGUCAGCAAGUAAACAGGUGAAUGAAUGGAAGAGCAAAUGAUCAAAGCAGCUUGGGCAGUAGAAAGCGCACAGAACGUAUCGUCUAGGCCUGCCUCUGCCGCUGACCAGCCAAGUGAACUUUGGCCAGUCCCUUUCCUCUGAGCCUGUUUCCUAUUUAUACAAAAAAGAAGGCUGGAGCCCAGUCUCUGUGGCUUCUUGGGGUUCACAUGGGCUGGGAUCCCAGGGCAACUGUGAUUAGCAUACAAAUGAUCUGUUCUAUCUACCCAUCCUCCUAAAGCCAGAGCCCUGGCUGGUCAGCUGCCCCAAGCUCCACUCUACACGCAGAGUUCCAGGGUUAUAUUUUUGGGACAGUGGGGACAAGUGCAGACAUAGAAUCAUCAGGGCACAGCUAACACCGGGCCUCUCCGAGCCAGUGUCUUAGCCUGGCACAGCAUGGAUCCUGCUAAGUCCCGGGAGAGUGAAGAUACACCAUCAUGGUGUGGCCCUUGUCUAGGCUCCAACAGUCUAGGAGCUGUUUUUUUAGGCUGGCUAACCUCUUUUCUUGAUCACUUUCAUUGAGAAGGCUGGGAGAGACAGGCAUAAUGGCACAUGCCUGCAACCCCAGCACUCGGAAGACAAAAGCAAGGAGAUGGCAAGAUCAUGAGCUCUAGGUCAGCUUGGCUGACAAAAACGAGGCCCGAUGGAACCCCCAACAAAUCUCCCGGAACACUAAAGAAGCCAUCCAAAAGGCCACCACCCCUCGUACCCAAAGAUGCUGACUGUGACAUUUCUUAGCACUUCAAUGGUUAUGUCCAAUGUCAACCAGAUAGGCUGUGGAAGCAUGACCCCGCAGCUCAACCAAGUCCUGGGGGGAAACGUCUUCCAACAAAAAGAGAAGGGACAAAAAAUUAUAGCACCCGAGGAAAGAGGAUUGCCAUGAGUUUGAGGCCAGCCUGAGGUACAGGAGGAGAAACGAAGCUCCUCCCCCAGAUCUGGGGAUCUAGAUCAGUGUAUGGAGCACUUGACUAGCACAUACUAAAUCCUGAGCUGGAUCUCCAGCACAGCAUAGACCCAACAGGGUAGCACGUGUCCAGAUAAGUGGAGGAAGGAGGACCAGGACUUCAAGGUCAUCCCAGGCUACCUAUCAUGCUCAAGGUCAUUCUACAACGUGUCUCAAAAGAACCAAAAACCCUGCUUUAGAAAUAAAUACCAGGGGGCUGGUGAGAUGGCUCAGUGGGUAAGAGCACCCAACUGCUCUUCCGAAGGUCCAGAGUUCAAAUCCCAGCAACCACAUGGUGGCUCACAACCAUCUGUAACGAAAUCUGACGCCCUCUUCUGGUGUGUCUGAAGACAGCUACAGUGUACUUACAUAUAAUAAAUAAAUAAAUCUUUAAAAAAAAAAAAAAUAAAUAAAUAAAUACCAACAACUCAAUCACAGCCUCUGCUGUUACAAUUCAUGAAGAAGGUAUUAACGGUGGCCGUUAUCACUCUGUAGUUAAGCCAGGCUCUGGCCCAGCAGACCUCUAAGCGUUGGGUCCUGUAAUAAUCCUGCGGGGUAGGCCUACAUAUUAGUGCCAGAGCCAGAGGUCGGCAGAACUGACACAUAGAUCCUUUAAGCCCCUUCUUUGCCCCUGCCUACUUAGCUUCAAACUUAGAAAUCACUGGGCCUGUGUUCUCAACAGUGACAAUUCUCCGUAUUUGUCUUAAGGAUCUGAAUAAUGGUUCUAUUAUUUUGUGAUCUAAAAAAAGGGGGGGGGUUAAUUCAGAGUUUGGAGAGAUGUGUCAGCAGGUAGGAGCACUGACAGCUCCAGUUCCAGAGGCUCUGGUAUCCUUACACAGACAUCCAUGCAGGCAAAACAUCAAUACAUGUAAAAAUAAAUCUUUUUUCAUACUUUUUUUUCCCCAAAGAACUAAAAAUAGUGAGCACUGGGUAGAACAGAAGAGCUCUUAGUUUCAGCUCCAGGUCUGUCACUGAAUUGCUGUGACACGUUGGGAAAUCUCUCCACCUCUCUGGGCUGAUGUUCCGUCUCCUGCACAGCUCCGUGGAAGAACACUUGCUUAGCGUGUGCAAGGUCCUGGCUUGGAUCCCCGUGACCAUAAGAAACGAAACAAAAGAUUCAAGGCCUGUCAUCUGUGAAACUCCCUGCCAGUGUAUUUACAUCUGGCCUCAAGUUGUCUAAAGCCAGGCAGGACAAUGACCAUCUUGUAAGUGGGAACCAGAGCCUCAGGGAAAUGAAGUCAUUCACCUGUCCUUCAGGGAAGUCUUUGCUACUGCCUGCACCAGCUCAGAUUCCCACUCCACAUUCUUACUGCACCUCUCUGAAUUCUCUCCUGGGCUAAUGACAACUAUCUAGUGAUGGGGAAAAUGUUUUUGAGACAUUGGCACUUAAAAUGUUCUUUUAAAGUGACACCAGGAAUCCCUGCAGAGACUUUACCUACACAGGAUCAAUCAGCUGACCACCCCUCAGGAAGCCCAGGGCAUCUGCAUGUCCUCCAAGAACAAGAGGCAUGGAUGUGGUUAGGAGUCCACACACAGUGGCAAGGCAUGUCAUAACAAACCUCUGUUGAGGAAGCCACUGUGACUCCUCCAGGUCACCUUUCCCAACACUGGACCAUGAGUGUUGUGGCUGUAAUGUGCUGGUGGUGACAAAUGGAAUUUUUGACGUGAUGAAAGCUUUGCUAUGUAUUGCCGGAACCCUCCUGCUCUGUCUUCUGCAUUCUGCAGCUGGGUCCAAGUGACAAUCCCGCGCUUUGAAAGAUCCCUGGACUCAAGAACAGUCUGGGCUUAACUCCUGGCUUCAUUACUAACUGUAAACCAAAGCUCACUGAACCUCAGUUUCCCCAACUAUAAAAUAAGGGGGGGGAGGAUGUUGAAAUCCCUACCAAAGACACAAUGCUAUGUGACAUUAACAUACGUGCAUGGAUCCAAUCACAUCAUUUCAUUUUCUCCUUUUGAUAUCCAGUAAGCAUCCGCCGAGCACAGAGUAUCAAGUUGUCACCCACAUCACCUCAGUAGCACCUCCCAUCAGUGGCACGGCUGGGUGAGUCUUGGUGCAUUUCACAUAUUGUAAACUGAAGCUCAGGAUGCAGAUGCAGAUGAGGUUUGUCAUCUAGCGCUAUCAAUGAGUACCAGAAAAGCAGAAAGUUUGAAAUUUGCUGUCCCAACAUGGUGCCUCAAGUGUGGGCCUGAGGCUAGAGUUUUCAACAUCUUUGGGGGGUGUGGAAAUCCCAUGAAAGUUCCAGAUCCUGUCUAGCACACCACACCAUCUCCAACCCUUGUUUCCUAUAAAGUCUGGGAGGCAGACAACAUAAAACAAACAAACCAACGAACGAACAACAACUCAGGAGAUAAGUCAGAACUGCCAGAAGAAAUUCCAAGAAAGGGAAGGAUGACAUGGGGGCAAAUGGACAGAGGAACAACUUAUGGCACUGAAAGUCCCAUGGGUGGGGACAGAGCAGGAGGGCUCUGGAUUCAUCUGAAACACUUGGGCCUCUUAAAACAUGAGCACGUUGGAGAGUCAUUUGAGUAAAAGAUGAUAACUAAGAAUGGUUUACCACCAGGAGAAAAAAAAAAAAAA
Molecule: long non-coding RNA, 5834 nt
Organism: Mus musculus (house mouse)
Lineage: Eukaryota; Metazoa; Chordata; Mammalia; Rodentia; Muridae
Product: predicted gene 13584
Exons: 2
Source: RefSeq, a predicted model, not a curated record